This is a non-coding RNA of Pelobates cultripes (western spadefoot toad), 255 nucleotides long. NCBI's taxonomy places the organism in Eukaryota, Metazoa, Chordata, Amphibia, Anura, Pelobatidae. The record is from the annotation of a GenBank genome assembly.
CACACACACACUGACACAUUCUCACACACACACUGACACAUUCUCACACACACACUGACACAUUCUCACACACACACUGACACAUUCUCACACACACACUGACACAUUCUCACACACACACUGACACAUUCUCACACACACACUGACACAUUCUCACACACACACUGACACACACUCACACACACACACACACACACACACACACACACACACACACACACACACACACACACACACACACACACACACACACAC